CACGUAGGGCGCAAGCGUUGUCCGGAAUUAUUGGGCGUAAAGAGCUCGUAGGCGGUCUGUUGCGUCUGCUGUGAAAACCCGGGGCUUAACCCCUGGCUUGCAGUGGAUACGGACAGACUAGAGGUAGGUAGGGGGAGAAUGGAAUUCCCGGUGUAGCGGUGAAAUGCGCAGAUAUCGGGAGGAACACCGGUGGCGAAGGCGGUUCUCUGGGCCUUACCUGACGCUGAGGAGCGAAAGCGUGGGGAGCGAACAGG
RNAcentral lists this ribosomal RNA (254 nucleotides) under uncultured bacterium. RNAcentral's name for it is "partial 16S ribosomal RNA". It matches the Rfam family "Bacterial small subunit ribosomal RNA", at positions 524 to 776 of the family's 1533-position model. The record is from RNAcentral.